UAUUUUGUAACCAACCAUUUUUACAUAACAAUCCUGUUUAAGGUUCAGAGAUUUCGAACAGUACAAAGAUCGGGAUUUUAAGUCUGCAAUAGCGUUUAUAAGGGAUAAGUUUUUAAACUUCAAGAACCCAGAUGGGUCUUUUGGAAUAGAUACAAGAACAAGAACUGUUUUUGUUCACAACACUUGCGCAACGGAUACAGAAAAUGUGAGGAAAGUCUUUAAGGAUGUAAAGACGACAAUAUUGGAGAAAAAUGUGAGAGAAAUGUUAUAAAACCUUUAGUAUUACAAAAAUGUGCUUAUUUUGUUUGAAAUAUUUCAUUAUUGCUUUAAACGGCAAUAAAAACAUGCGUUAUCAAAUAUAAUGAUGAAAAUACUAA
Molecule: long non-coding RNA, 377 nt
Organism: Eurytemora carolleeae
Lineage: Eukaryota; Metazoa; Arthropoda; Copepoda; Calanoida; Temoridae
Exons: 4
Source: RefSeq, a predicted model, not a curated record